This 446-nucleotide long non-coding RNA is filed under the name Rattus norvegicus (Norway rat). RNAcentral's name for it is "long non-coding RNA NONRATT021289". Lineage: Eukaryota; Metazoa; Chordata; Mammalia; Rodentia; Muridae. The record is from RNAcentral.
GCUCCUGACUUCUUUAGAUAAAGAUGUAGACAGAGCUCUCAGUUCCUCCUGGGCCACGGCUGCCUAGAAGCUGUGGUGCUCCUGCCUUGAUGAUAAUGGACUGAACUUCUGAACCCACCCUGGUGGAUGCCCCCACUUACUGUUGUUUCAGUGGAGGAGUUGGGCAUCUUGGGCACCAGGCAGUGAGUGAAAUGGAUCCUUGGGUCUUUGGUGGUGAUAGACAGACCUUUCUGUAAGAUUUUCACCAAGCGGAUCCAGAACCGAAACACAGCCUGUGGAUGUUUCUCAUGGAGCCUCAGGAUCUUCAUUCCUUAGUAAAGACCCGCCGGCCUCUAGGUGUAUGCCUAAAUCCCAACACUUGGGAGCUAAGAGCAGGAGUUCAAGUUCAGCUUGGCUAUGUGACUUUGUCUCAAAAAAUUUUUAAAUAAAAACAAUCUGCCCUCAUC